This is a non-coding RNA of Phalacrocorax carbo (great cormorant), 355 nucleotides long. Lineage: Eukaryota; Metazoa; Chordata; Aves; Suliformes; Phalacrocoracidae. The record is from RefSeq and is a predicted model, not a curated record.
CUCCACAGCCGCCGGCGCGUGCUGCUGUGAGGGGCUGCGGGGAGCCGCAUGGGUUAAAGCCGGCAUGUACCGUCCAGCUCCCCCGCGCAGCUACGGUCCCACCGGCUCCCGGGCCGCUCAGCCUGCGGCCACGGGGAUAUCUCGGUGCUGUGCUGUGCUGUGCGGUGCGCACUGUUCACAGUAUCUUCUAAAGCCAGAAGAGGAGAGGAAUCCACUCAGGAGCCAAACCAGAACUCUGAAAUGGAAACCAUCUACAUUUACAUUGUUACAGAAUUCAAAAACCUCUUGCUAACCAGAAUCCUGGCUUACUGUGUAAGAACGAGAGCAGAGAGGAACCUGUUGCAAACCACUGUCA